GAUGAACGCUGGCGGCGUGCUUAACACAUGCAAGUCGAACGGUAACGCAGUGCUUGCUUUGUGUUUCAGUGGCGAACGGGUGAGUAACACAUGAGCAAACUGCCCCCGACUCUGGGAUAAGCGCUAGAAACGGCGUCUAUACCUGGAUAUGGGCUGCGACCGCAUGGUCAGCGGUUGGAAAGAUUUUUCGGUCUGGGAUGGGCUCACGGGCUAUCAGCUUGUUGGUGGGGUAAUGGCUCACCAAGGCGUCGACGGGUAGCCGGCCUGGGAGGGUGACCGGCCACACUGGGACUGAGACACGGCCCAGACUCCUACGGGAGGCAGCAGUGGGGAAUAUUGCACAAUGGGCGAAAGCCUGAUGCAGCAACGCCGCGUGAGGGAUGACGGCCUUCGGGUUGUAAACCUCUUUUGGCUGGGACGAAGCGAUAGUGACGGUACCUGCAGAAAAAGCACCGGCUAACUACGUG
This 467-nucleotide ribosomal RNA is filed under the name uncultured bacterium. RNAcentral's name for it is "partial 16S ribosomal RNA". It matches the Rfam family "Bacterial small subunit ribosomal RNA", at positions 28 to 507 of the family's 1533-position model. The record is from RNAcentral.